Molecule: long non-coding RNA, 3011 nt
Organism: Nematostella vectensis (starlet sea anemone)
Lineage: Eukaryota; Metazoa; Cnidaria; Anthozoa; Actiniaria; Edwardsiidae
Exons: 2
Source: RefSeq, a predicted model, not a curated record
GCCCACACCUGGUGCCACACCCAGAGCGCCAAUCCAUAAGUGUGAUUUUAUGGACCUAAUAUACACCUAUUUCAAAUAAGGUUGCAUUCGGAGAGUCUGUGUCUUAACCCGCAGUGCUUCAUCAAAUAUAUACAAAAAAUGAGCCCAAAGUAUAAUAUCUGUAUCUAUCUUUACAGCCUUUAGCAGCCUAAACAAACCCUCAAGUCUGUAUCCAUUUUUACAGCCUUAAAGUGUUUCUGAAGCGAAAAUUGUGUCAGGCUGUUCUUAGGCUUAUUAUAAAAUUCAAUCUUCGCUUAAUAUUAUAAAAGAAAAGUAAAAAUAAAAGAUUAUGAGGAACAUGAUUCAAUUAUUCUUCAAAGAGAGGUAACAAGUGCAACAAAAAAUACAGCGAAAUUACUUCAUAGGCACCCCCUGUUUUUCGUCACAUGGUUGCUUACUACGCUGAAGGAGCCAUUUUGAAUCGAUCAUUGACCAAAAAGUUCACUAGUUUGCCCUACUAUUUGUUGCGUUUAUAUUCUUACAAUGUCUGAUUACAACAAAUAGUCCAGUAAAGAGUCAUAUAAAACUCUUCGGGAGGCAACAGGAGCGAAUUUGGAUUGAAAGGAGCAGUGCAUUCCCUUGGAGCUGAACGGGUGAGAGUCAUUUGCACGAUGCAGGGAGAAAUAAGUGGAUUAUAAAAUGAUCUGUUGGAUCUACCUUCGGAGAGGAUAAUCACGGCUUCCAGGGCAGUUUUUCAGAAGUCUAGAACUUGUGAUGCUGGGCUUCUGUUGAUGUGCACUUGAGGGCCCAUGAGAUAGAGUAUUAGCAAACAUUCUUUAAUUUUUGUAAGAAUCAUUGAGAGGCACAUUAAUGCUACAGGGUCUGUACUCGAUUUCUAGUCAACAUCAGCUUAGUUUAUGUGAGGGACUCAUCAUUAGUUUUCAUCAAAUAAUACAGUAAAUACAGAGCAGAGACACUGGUCAAAUAUACAAGCUUUAGCGAUAUCGCUCUCUUUUCAUCAUCAUAAUCCUAUGGCCUCAGCCGAGGGCUCUGAGGUCUUUCAUUGCACUUGGCAUGUCCAUUACAAACUCACCAUUGUGCAUUGCGUAAAAUUAAAGGUUUACUCACUCAUUUCACAUUAAAGUUGAUCAGAAAACUUAGAUUGGCUGUACAGCAUACAUACCCCUUUUCUUUAGCAUAGUCUUGUGCAAAAUGUUCUUGAUUGAGAAUAUCCACAAGUUUAUUGAUUCCAAUAUUUAUUCACCAUUUGACCAUGAAUAGUCACUAACUUUUGAGUGUCUAGCCAGUGUAUGUGCAUUAGUCUGUUAUGCAAUAAGCUUUUAUUUAUUUUCUAGCUGAUAACAGUCAACAGUAAAAAAAAACAUUCUACUGCUAAUUGUAUAGAUACAGGAGAAGAAAUUAUUUGCAUACUGUACUAUGAAAAGUUGAGGGUGAGUGUCAACAUGAUGGAUUAUAUAGUCUUUUUCACCUAGUAUAUGACAGCAAGCUUAGCCAUGGUGGACUAGCAAGGUAAGGCUAGGUAACUCUCUAUAGCUUUCUUUCUCCAUCUAAGGUGGACCUUGGGGUGGACCGCUGUGGUCCCCUAAUCUCUGAGAUUUUGUAUGAAAACAUAAAAAAGGACAUUGGAUCUCCUUUCCGUGAAAUCCUCAUACUAGCCACCCUGGAAACACUUGAUCCCCCUAUUUGUAGCCCUAAGUGUGAAAACAAACUUCUUUGUGUAGUCACUUGGGUAGAUGCACAUUCCCCUUCUAACUCUGAAGGUGAAAUAUAAAAAAAAUAGUUUGAUUUAGCAGCAGGGCUAUAGCUUAGAACAAGGGGGAGGAAACUCCCCCCCCUGUUGAGCCAAAUGGACAUACAUGAAAAAAUGUGCCCCCCCCCCACCAACACCACAAAAUACUAGGAAUCAAUGAUGCUUCAUGACUGAAAUUAUCAUCCAAAUCCUAGGAAAAUCGAACUCAGUUUGAGUUGAUAUAGUUCGAGUUACCAAGGCUCCUACUUUUCAAAUAAAAACAAUGGAAUUGCACGUUUUUCAUAGGAUGGCUGUAUUGAUAUUAUAGAUCAUUUAUGGUAGAAAACAAGGGUCUAUUUGGUAUCAUCAGAUUGUAUGGUUUUCUGUCAUGAAUAUACAAAAAAAACCCUCUCUUUUGUACCCUACAUAAAUUUAACCCCAGAAUAACAACAGAACAAACAACAAUUUGUAUUAAUACUCUGCUUCUGGCAGGAUAUGGAAUAAAAUAAAAUCAUUCCUAGAAAUAUUUAACCUCCUCGCUUCUAAUUUCACAAUGAUUACUCUGGGCUUCAUCAGGUCAAUCAAAUCAUGAAUUUUUCGCCCCAUCAGCAUGUUUUGCUAUUCUAAUGGCCCCAGAACGCUUCGAGGGAUUAUUUUUUUGGUGUGUUCGAUUCCCACCUUGCCUAAACCUGAUCGUGUAAUUUCAACUCUACAGGUGAUUAUGUCAAUCGACCAAAACACUUUAAACGACCCUUCAGCUCAGAUUUCUAUAAUUAUCCAUAUCUUUAGAAUUGAACUCGUUGGCUCCGACGUAGCAGCUUGUUCAAAUUGCCUAAGGUUCGAAAGGUGCAAAAUUCUGAUUUCCUCAGCGAUUUUCACACCAGAUAAGUCUAUUUGCACCGUCUCAUUUUAGGGGUGGAAGGAAUAUUGACAAGUCAGUUGGUAGGCCGUAAUUUUUGCAGCUUUUGUGGCCUCGGGAAUCCGCAAAGUAAACUUCUACUGGCUUGUGUUGUGGCCAUGACCGUCACCUUCCUUUCGCACGCUUUUUCUCUUCCCGCUGAGCAAGCAACCGUGUGACGUCACAAGCCCUUCAAAAUGUUGCACUUGAUAGGACAAAAACACCAACUUCACGCAAUAAUUUUUUUCCAAUUGGUUUAUGUGGAUCGAAAAAGCUAUGAAAUGUUGUUUCUUUGAUAUUUGAGGUUUAAAAAAAAUGAUACAAAAAGGCUAUGUUUCCUUUCGCUUCAGAAACACUUUAAAUAAACAUAAAAAAACUCCAAAA